This 254-nucleotide ribosomal RNA is filed under the name uncultured bacterium. RNAcentral's name for it is "partial 16S ribosomal RNA". It matches the Rfam family "Bacterial small subunit ribosomal RNA", at positions 524 to 776 of the family's 1533-position model. The record is from RNAcentral.
AACGUAGGUGGCGAGCGUUAUCCGGAUUCAUUGGGCGUAAGGAGCUUGUAGGCGGCGUCAUAAGUUGGACGUGAAAACUCCGGGCUUAACUUGGAGAGGCCGUUCAAUACUGUGGUGCUAGAGGGUGUCAGAGGGAAGUAGAAUUCCUGGUGUAGCAGUGAAAUGCGUAGAUAUCAGGAGGAAUACCCGUGGCGAAGGCGGCUUCCUGGGGGCACCACUGACGCUGAGAAGCGAAAGCUAGGGGAGCAAACGGG